AACAUCUCUUUUAUCUCUGCCCCAAGACAUGAUAGAGUCAAUGCUUGGCCUUCAAUAUCAGAGAUUAUUAUGCGCCUAUUGCUCUGUAACUAUCUACCCCCAAACGUGGCGGCUUAAAGCAGCACUCAGUGCCUGCCUCCCAAGAGCCGACAAAACACUGAGGGUAAGUCUGUGCCUGGAUCCAGGUCAGUGGGAUGUGCGUGGGUCGUCUCCAGGAGCAGCCGCUGUAGAUGUUAGCAGCCCUGGCACGUCAGUGAUCAAGCGCAAUCAAUAAAAAGGCCAAGCAGUCCGAUUUUGGAAAAUAUAAGCAGUCUUUGUCUGUUCCCAGCGCUCUUGGUUUCACAAGACCGUGGUGUCUGGCUCCUGCUGGCCCCAGUUGGCAGCUAGCCUGCCUCAGCAGGAGGCCCAACUUCUGGAAGGGUGUGGCUUGGGAGGCCUGUCAGGGGAGACGGUGUGGCUCCUCAGGACCUCAGGAAGCCCCUGUAGGGCCAGGCAGCCUCUGAGGAGACCCCUUGAGUCCAUGUGGAGGGCAGGCAGCUGGGCAGAGGGACCUGGGAGGCUGCAGCCGAGCACAGGGUGGCUCUGUUGGCUGGCUGAAGCAGCACCGGACGCGUGUCCCCAAAACGAUGCAGGCGGGGCGGUGGACUUGCCCCUUCCCCGGUGGCCCUCCGUGUGGCAGCACAGCCCUUGACAGCCUCCUGCUCUUGAGGUUGCCCCUGCAGGAAACGCCACUGAUUGCACCGACCCUGGCGCCUCUCCUCAGCCUGAAUUCCGAGGCCCCUGAUGGUCUGAGAGCGCCCUGGCCGGGCAUGGUCCUGGCUCCGUGCAGCGUCCGCCUGCAUUUCAGACGCUGAUAUGCCUCCCUGCUCCACCCAGAGGCUGGCCAGCCGCUGCCCCGUUCGCAGCCAGGUUCCUGGCUCAGGGACUGCGUUGCCCAGAGCUCAGGCCAGUGCUCAGCAUGGGGAUUCCUUUGCCCGGGAUUUUUCUCAGAUGACCCUUCAAGACCCAUAAGCUCUUCUCCAUCCUGAGAUUUUUCCAUGUCCUCACAUAUCCUAGGUCUUGGGCCAGCAGUGGCUGUUUUCCACCCGAGAUGGCAUUUGCUUGGGAAAGCAGGCCGAGUGUAAAGGCAGAUGGCAUGAGUGGAAAUGCCCUGGACCUUUGACAGACUCCACCCUCCUCAGACUCCAUGGCCUGUCCUCUCUGCUCUCGGCCUCCCGUCUUGGCUGACAGAGUGAAUGUUGUCACUCUUACUGGCAUCCCUGUGGGAGAAGAGGGGCAGCUGGGUGACGGUCCCAAACCACCUCCCUUAUGGAACUGAGAAACUGGGGCCCAGAGGAAGCUAAUGAGCAAAAUCCAAGAUUCCGACCCCUUUCCUCUCCCUCCCAAACCCCCACCAGACUGUCAUCUUUAUUGUGUGUCUUCCUAAAUCCAUCCGUUGGAAAGGAAAGUUAGUCGCCAGGAAGGGCCUUCUCCCAGAUCAUCUAAUUUGUUAAAGCUUGCUUGGCUUCUCAGUCCCUGCAUCCUUCCUGAGUCCCCAGAGCUUUGCUUAGUUACCGUAACUAAGACUCUGCCAUUGAAGGUUCCUGCCCUCCCUGUCCUCCUCCUCUCUGUCUCCUUGGUGAUCUGGAGGAGGUGGAUGUGGCUUUUUUAAUGCCAGAAGGCAUAACUCCUGGUCAUCUCCACAUGCCACAUUGCUGCCAUUGCUCACCCUCAUCCUGAUUUGCCUGCAGGCCAGGGGCAGGCUGGGGCAGGCUGGGGUGUCCAGGGCUGCUUUAAGUACAUGUCCACCAGCUGUGUGUUGCAGGGGCCAGAUGCCAUGCCGCAGCUCCUCUCCUUAUUGACAUCCUGGCUGACGCCUGGGAAAAUUCCACGGUCUGGCCGUGCUGAGUCAUUGCUGAGUCAUGCUUUGUCUCUGAGGAUGUGAGCGUCACCUCCUGCAAUGCCUGUCACUGGUCAGCCCAGGAUCUGGCUGCAGUUACUAUAUACUGAGAUCCGUGUUGCUAAUCUUUUCGAUUUGCCCAUCACUGUAUGCUUCUCCGAGUGCUUUUUCUAACGUGCUGUUUUAUCAAUACAAAAUUUAUUAAUCUUAAAUCAUUCAUAAUAAGUAGAUUCUUUAUCCUGGAAAACAUUCCUCUCAUAAAUGAGGAAACUGAGGUUUGGAGAGACUAAGUGACUUGGUUAGUUUUGGGUGAUUGGUGAGUGGCAUGUUGGGGUGAGUUUUUUAUCCCUUACCCUGGAUUUCCGUGUAAUGCAAAGAUUUUUCAGAAGUAACUUUGGUUGAAAAAUUGAGUUUCAGUUUGUUUAAGUCACAGACUCAAAAAUCUCAUUCUUCCUUUAAGGGCCAGUCUUUUACAUCUAACUUUGAAGUGUAGCCUACAAAUCUUUCUGUUCUAUUUGUGAUUCUAGAAAAUGUUCACAAUCAUUUUAAGGGGCCUUUGGUUAACACUUGAUCCAUUUGCAAUCUUAACUCAUAUGAAGAUUUUAAAUUGAGUUUAUGAAUUAUAUUCAGUGUCCUUUAGUUACUGCAGUUUUCUGAUUAACAAAAUCUUCCAUAGUCCUGUAAAUCUAAUAAACUGACUCUUAAAUUUUCUUAUACAUUCCUAUACUGUCUUGUCUUAUUCUUUUUACACAGCUUGAUUGAGGUAUUUUUAACAUAAAAUUGCACAUUUGAAGUGUAUGAUUUAUAUUUUGACAUAUGCAUGCUCUUGUGAAAUCAUGAGCACAGUUAAGAUAGUGAUUGUCCAAAAGUGUCCCUUGGUUAUCCCUCCCAGUCACUCCUCUCUGCUUCCGCCAUCUCCAAGUAGUCACUAAUUGCUUUCUGUUGUUAUAAAUUAGUUGGCACUUUUUGGAA
Molecule: long non-coding RNA, 2851 nt
Organism: Bos grunniens (domestic yak)
Lineage: Eukaryota; Metazoa; Chordata; Mammalia; Artiodactyla; Bovidae
Source: Ensembl